GCUGAUGCGUUGUUGGGUAGGGGAGCGUUCUGUAAGCCUGCGAAGGUGACCUGUGAGGGUUGCUGGAGGUAUCAGAAGUGCGAAUGCUGACAUAAGUAACGAUAAAGCGGGUGAAAAGCCCGCUCGCCGGAAGACCAAGGGUUCCUGUCCAACGUUAAUCGGGGCAGGGUGAGUCGACCCCUAAGGCGAGGCCGAAAGGCGUAGUCGAUGGGAAACGGGUUAAUAUUCCCGUACUUGGUGUUACUGCGAAGGGGGGACGGAGAAGGCUAUGUUGGCCGGGCGACGGUUGUCCCGGUUUAAGCGUGUAGGUGUGUGUUCCAGGUAAAUCCGGUUCACUUUAACACUGAGGCGUGAUGACGAGGCACUACGGUGCUGAAGCAACAAAUGCCCUGCUUCCAGGAAAAGCCUCUAAGCAUCAGGUAACAUCAAAUCGUACCCCAAACCGACACAGGUGGUCAGGUAGAGAAUACCAAGGCGCUUGAGAGAACUCGGGUGAAGGAACUAGGCAAAAUGGUGCCGUAACUUCGGGAGAAGGCACGCUGACACGUAGGUGAAGUGAUUUACUCAUGGAGCUGAAGUCAGUCGAAGAUACCAGCUGGCUGCAACUGUUUAUUAAAAACACAGCACUGUGCAAACACGAAAGUGGACGUAUACGGUGUGACGCCUGCCCGGUGCCGGAAGGUUAAUUGAUGGGGUCAGCGCAAGCGAAGCUCCUGAUCGAAGCCCCGGUAAACGGCGGCCGUAACUAUAACGGUCCUAAGGUAGCGAAAUUCCUUGUCGGGUAAGUUCCGACCUGCACGAAUGGCGUAAUGAUGGCCAGGCUGUCUCCACCCGAGACUCAGUGAAAUUGAACUCGCUGUGAAGAUGCAGUGUACCCGCGGCAAGACGGAAAGACCCCGUGAACCUUUACUAUAGCUUGACACUGAACAUUGAGCCUUGAUGUGUAGGAUAGGUGGGAGGCUUUGAAGUGUGGACGCCAGUCUGCAUGGAGCCGACCUUGAAAUACCACCCUUUAAUGUUUGAUGUUCUAACGUGGACCCGUAAUCCGGGUUGCGGACAGUGUCUGGUGGGUAGUUUGACUGGGGCGGUCUCCUCCUAAAGAGUAACGGAGGAGCACGAAGGUUGGCUAAUCCUGGUCGGACAUCAGGAGGUUAGUGCAAUGGCAUAAGCCAGCUUGACUGCGAGCGUGACGGCGCGAGCAGGUGCGAAAGCAGGUCAUAGUGAUCCGGUGGUUCUGAAUGGAAGGGCCAUCGCUCAACGGAUAAAAGGUACUCCGGGGAUAACAGGCUGAUACCGCCCAAGAGUUCAUAUCGACGGCGGUGUUUGGCACCUCGAUGUCGGCUCAUCACAUCCUGGGGCUGAAGUAGGUCCCAAGGGUAUGGCUGUUCGCCAUUUAAAGUGGUACGCGAGCUGGGUUUAGAACGUCGUGAGACAGUUCGGUCCCUAUCUGCCGUGGGCGCUGGAGAACUGAGGGGGGCUGCUCCUAGUACGAGAGGACCGGAGUGGACGCAUCACUGGUGUUCGGGUUGUCAUGCCAAUGGCACUGCCCGGUAGCUAAAUGCGGAAGAGAUAAGUGCUGAAAGCAUCUAAGCACGAAACUUGCCCCGAGAUGAGUUCUCCCUGAGACUUAGAGUCUCCU
This 1639-nucleotide ribosomal RNA is filed under the name Salmonella enterica subsp. enterica serovar Typhimurium str. SL1344. RNAcentral's name for it is "partial 23S ribosomal RNA". It matches the Rfam family "Bacterial large subunit ribosomal RNA", at positions 1213 to 2829 of the family's 2925-position model. Lineage: Bacteria; Pseudomonadati; Pseudomonadota; Gammaproteobacteria; Enterobacterales; Enterobacteriaceae. The record is from RNAcentral.